CCCCUAGAUGUUCUGGGCCGCACGCGCGCUACACUGAACAGUUCAACAAGUCUUAACCUUGGCCGAUAGGUCUGGGUAAUCUUUGAACGCUGUUCGUGAUUGGGAUAGACCUUUGCAAUUAUGGGUCUUCAACGAGGAAUUCCUAGUAAACGCAAGUCAUCAGCUUGCAUUGAUUACGUCCCUGCCCUUUGUACACACCGCCCGUCGCACCUACCGAUUGAAUGGUCCGGUGAAAUCUCGGGACGGAGGCUUGGUCGCUUGCGUCCGACUGCUGAAACUUGAUUAAACCAUAUCAUUUAGAGGAAGGUGAAGUCGUAACA
This 320-nucleotide ribosomal RNA is filed under the name uncultured eukaryote. RNAcentral's name for it is "partial 18S ribosomal RNA". It matches the Rfam family "Eukaryotic small subunit ribosomal RNA", at positions 1470 to 1796 of the family's 1831-position model. The record is from RNAcentral.